AGCGAACGCUGGCGGCAGGCUUAACACAUGCAAGUCGAGCGGGCACUUCGGUGUCAGCGGCAGACGGGUGAGUAACACGUGGGAACGUACCCUUCGGUUCGGAAUAACGCUGGGAAACUAGCGCAAUACCGGAUACGCCCUUUUGGGGAAAGGUUUACUGCCGAAGGAUCGGCCCGCGUCUGAUUAGCUAGUUGGUGGGGUAAUGGCCUACCAAGGCGACGAUCAGUAGCUGGUCUGAGAGGAUGAUCAGCCACACUGGGACUGAGACACGGCCCAGACUCCUACGGGAGGCAGCAGUGGGGAAUAUUGGACAAUGGGCGCAAGCCUGAUCCAGCCAUGCCGCGUGAGUGAUGAAGGCCUUAGGGUUGUAAAGCUCUUUUGUCCGGGACGAUAAUGACGGUACCGGAAGAAUAAGCCCCGGCUAACUUCGUG
RNAcentral lists this ribosomal RNA (432 nucleotides) under uncultured bacterium. Its description in RNAcentral is "partial 16S ribosomal RNA". It matches the Rfam family "Bacterial small subunit ribosomal RNA", at positions 29 to 507 of the family's 1533-position model. The record is from RNAcentral.